This 493-nucleotide ribosomal RNA is filed under the name uncultured Escherichia sp. RNAcentral describes it as "bacterial SSU rRNA". It matches the Rfam family "Bacterial small subunit ribosomal RNA", at positions 29 to 510 of the family's 1533-position model. The record is from RNAcentral. Lineage: Bacteria; Pseudomonadati; Pseudomonadota; Gammaproteobacteria; Enterobacterales; Enterobacteriaceae.
AAUGAACGCUGGCGGCAGGCCUAACACAUGCAAGUCGAACGGUAACAGGAAGAAGCUUGCUUCUUUGCUGACGAGUGGCGGACGGGUGAGUAAUGUCUGGGAAACUGCCUGAUGGAGGGGGAUAACUACUGGAAACGGUAGCUAAUACCGCAUAACGUCGCAAGACCAAAGAGGGGGACCUUCGGGCCUCUUGCCAUCGGAUGUGCCCAGAUGGGAUUAGCUAGUAGGUGGGGUAACGGCUCACCUAGGCGACGAUCCCUAGCUGGUCUGAGAGGAUGACCAGCCACACUGGAACUGAGACACGGUCCAGACUCCUACGGGAGGCAGCAGUGGGGAAUAUUGCACAAUGGGCGCAAGCCUGAUGCAGCCAUGCCGCGUGUAUGAAGAAGGCCUUCGGGUUGUAAAGUACUUUCAGCGGGGAGGAAGGGAGUAAAGUUAAUACCUUUGCUCAUUGACGUUACCCGCAGAAGAAGCACCGGCUAACUCCGUGCCA